UAAUAUUCCUUUAGAGUGUACCAUCAAACUGAUCGGUGGCAUGUUCCUUGAAAUUAGAAGAAUUUGAGGUGCAUGUAUGAAAGAAUAACUUUGUGGGGAUGAUAAGACAGUGUCACAGCAUCGUACAGAUCAGAGGGAGACCAUUCGGCCCACAAUGUGCAUGACAAAUCUCAAGUGCUCAUCUAUAUUAAUCCAAUUUUCUGCCAGUAGCCUUUAUGUCUUGGUGAAUCAAACUUACAUAGAGUAAUGGAGAUAUACAGCGUAGAAACAGGCCCUAUGGCCCAACUUGCCCACACCGGCCAACAUGCCUGCAUUUGGCCCAUAUCCCUUUAAAUCGGUCCUAUCCAUGUACCUGUCUAAAUGUGUCUUGAACGUUGCAAUAAUCCCUGCCUCAACCAACUCCUCCGGGCAGCUCGUUCCGUAUACCCACCACCCACGUUAGAUUUAGCUACUUCUCAAAUGUCAUGAGAGCUUCUGCCUCGAUCCACCCUUCAGGCAGAUCAGGAGCGUCUGCGUUCCUUAGCUGGAGAGCUCGGAAUUCACUGCCGUAGCCUCAGUAUAAAAGAAUGGACAUUUUGAACUGACAUGUUUGUUUUUUUAACCGAAAGGAUUGUUCAUCUUUUGAAUAUUUCUCUUCUGGGGGCUGUGGAUGCUCAGUCAUUAUUUUUCCUUGAGAUUGAAAGAAACAGAUGAUUGAUCUUCUGGAAAAUUAAGGAAUAUGAAGAUAUUUAAAAGUUCAGCUGUAAUGAUACUGAAGGGUGAAGCAGACUUGAGAGCCCUUGUAAACGUCCACAGUUCCAUUUUCCUUUGCUCUUCAAAACAGGAUAUGAUCCCAAGGUUUCAUGAAUUACAAAAGGCUUGGAUUAAGUCGAAGAAAAGGACAUUAGGCCACGUUAACGAAGGCUCAGACAACAAGUCGACAAAGUGUUCUGAAGGAAAGCACAGGUGGCAACCUGCACAAAGCAAUAACUGGGCAAUCAACAAUCCUGGAGACCCAAGCGACUGUAGAUGCUGGAAUCUGAAGCAACACACAAUCUGCCCGAGGAAUUUGAUUCACAUUUUUCAAUCAGACAACAUGAUACCACUAUUCCCCUCUCCCCUGGCGAUCAGUCUGAAGAAGGGUCUCGAUCCGAUACGGCGCCUGUUCCUUUUCUCCAGAGAUGCUACUUCAUCUGACCCACUGUUACUCCAGCUUUUUGUGUCUAUCUUCAACAUGAAUUUCACAGUCAGUUGCAUUAAAGAGCUUUCCUCUCGAUAUUAAGAGUAUAGUUUCUCCAACAUGCUGGGUGAUAUACUAGUUCCAAUUUGUAGUGAAGUCUCUUGAGGCCAAGGCAGAUAAAGACUGAUGUCCUGAGAGACCAUCUCGUGAUUCUGCACUUGGAUUCCAUUAAGCAAGUAUGCAUUAAAUCAAAAAAAAAAUCAAGCUUUACAAACAAUUUGAAUUUGUGAUGUGUGGGUGCAGAAGAGAAUUUUGCCUCUAGACGAAAUGUAAGGUCAUGAUCGUAAACUAACAUGAUCAGUCCAAUUAACGUCCAUUCAUACUGAGUUCAGGACAUAUUUAUCCAGAACUCUCCCUCUGGAAACUAAACAGACUGAUAGGUUAAACUAUUUGCAAAUAUUCCAAGAUGAAUGAAAUAAAAAGUUUUUUUUUUCAUUCAAAACUGUGUGCUUUAAACAUAUGCUAUAUUAUUGGUGUUCAGUCACUUGUUGAAUCUACAUGUUGAUGUGGCACAGUGUAAAACAGGGGGUUUAACAAUUUUCACUUGUUAAACAGCUCUGCUAUUUAAUUUAAAAAGCAAAAUGAGAAAUAAAUGUGCAACCCAAACAUGUAACUUAAGAUUGCUUUAUGUGUGUUUGAAACAUUGUGCCCUCAAGCUGGGAAGAAUGUGUGCUCUUUAUUCAGAUCCUGAUUUCAAUCCAGCCCAGUAAUGGCUUAAAGAGUCAAGAGUAUUUUAUUGUCAUAUGGCUCGAACCAGAACAAUUUUUACUUGCAGCAAAGAUAAAAUGACUUUGGAUAGACUCCAUUCAAUUCAUAGCACUCCACAACGUCAAAAUCAUUACUUCACUACGACUAUAGUAUCAUUGCUAUGUCAUUACUAUGAGAUGAAUAGAUCGGAUGGACACACAGAGUCUCUUGCCAAGAGUAGGGGAAUUGAGAACCAGAAGACAAAGGCUUAGGGUGAGGGGGGGAAAUGUAAUAGGAACCUGAGGGGGAACGUUUUCACACAAAGGACGGUGGGUGUAUGGAACGAGCUGCUGGUAGAGAUAGUUGAGGCAGGUACUAUUGCAUAAUUUCAGAAAAAAUUAGAGGGGUACAUGGAUAGGAUAGGUUUAGAGGGAUAUGGCCUAAACGCAGGCAGGGAGGACUAGUGUAGAUGGGACAUGUUGGUCAAUGUGGGAAAGUUGAGCCGAAGGGCCUGUUUCUGCACUGUCAGACUCUAUGACUCUCUGUUUACAGAGUACCAUGUUCAUAUUAUUUUGUUGUGCUGCUGCAAGUAAGAAUUUCAUUGUUCUGUUUGGGACAUAUGACAAUAAAAUAAUCUUGGCCUUCUAAUUCGGUUAUGUUUGAAACCACGUGAGAAAUGACUGGUGCAGGAAGCAGUGUUAUAUGUGUAUUUAUGGGUGACCGUGGGAUUUGGGGAUGGCACUUGUUAGUACGGAAAAUCCCCAAUUAUUAUUGUUAGUCUGGAAAAACUACCAACGAGUGAUUUCCUUUCUCUUCCAUGUAUACUAUUUCACACAUUCAAACUCAUCCCAGCAUCAGGGUUUACAGGAUAAUCCAAUUAUGUCGAUGAAUUAAUGAACUAACCACAGAAUCUUGUAACAUUAAAGACCAUGGAAUUGAGUUUACAGUUUAGAGACACAGCGUGAAAAUAGGCCCUUCGGCCCCCAGAUUCCAUGCCGACCAUCGAGCAUCCAAACACUAGUUCUAUGUUAUCACACCUUCGCAUCCCACACACGAGGGGCAAUGUACAGAAUCCAAUUAAAUAACAAACCUGCACGUCUUUGGAAUGCGGGAGGAAACUGAAGCACCCGGAGAAAACCAACAGGGAGAACGUACAAACUCUGUCCAGACAGCACACGUAGAGGAUCAAGCUCGGGUCUCUGGUGCUGUGAGGCAGCAACUCUUUGAUCCAUAAUACCUCUGUGGACUAUAACUCAUCAGUAAUCUCACUGUAUUGCUUUUGGCCAAGCUGUUUAAUUUUUUCGGCAUGCAUCCAAUUUGUCUUGGAAAAUUAAUAAUCAAUCUGCUUUAACCAUCCUAAUUUCAUGCCUUUACAUUUGAGUUAUUUUCGACCAAGAUGUUUACAACAAAGAUCAUAAUGACAAACUGCUUGAUUUUUCUCAUUGGGUGGCACUGUCAUAGCGGUUCUAUUGUGGUCUAGGAUCAGUUACAGUGGCAGAGCCACAGAUAUUUUAGACCCCAGAUCGGCACGGUUUUAAAGAGACAUUGCAUAUACAGUUCACAAACAACAUCAAUUGCAAACGCAGUAAAAUGGUGCCUUGUUGCACUACUUAUGGAAUUUGCAACCCCCACAUUAGAUGUUAAAUUUGUGAAGCUCCAUUCAUUCUAAGUUGUACACAGCCCUAGUGAGACCAAACCUGAAGUAUUGUGUGCAGUUUUGGUCCCCUAAUUUGAGGAAGGACAUUCUUGCCAUUGAGGGAGUGCAGCGUAGGUUUACAAGGUUAAUUCCUGGGAUGGCGGGACUGUCAUAUGCUGAGAGAAUGAAGCAGCUGGGCUUGUACACUCUAGAGUUUAGAAGGAUGAGAGGGCAUCUUAUUGAAACACAUAAGAUUGUUAAGGGUUUGGACACGCUGGAGGCAGGAAACAUGUUCCCGAUGCUGGGGGAGUCCAGGACCAGGGGCCACAGUUUAAGAAUAAGGGGUAAGCCAUUUAGAACAGAGACAAGGGAACACUUUAUCUCACAGAGAGUUGUGAGUCUGUGGAAUUCUCUGCCUCAGAGGGCGGUGGAGGCAGGUUCUCCGGUUGCUUUCAAGAGAGAGCUGGAUAGGGCUCUUAAAGAUAGCGGAGUCAGGGGAUAUGGGGAAAAGGCAGGAACGGGGUACUGAUUGGGGAUGAUCAGCCAUGAUCACAUUGAAUGGCGGUGCUGGCUCGAAGGGCCGAAUGGCCUACUCCUGCACCUAUUGUCUACUGUCUAUUCUGAGACCCCUUCAAUGAUUAAGGCUACAUGGUUGUGCAACAAUAUCAAGAGGCCUGGAGUUUCAACAAUUGAAAUAAAAACGUUUCCAAAUCUUUUUAUACUUUGUACGGCCAAUCUUUUCCCAGAACAAUUGUCUGUUUACAUCUUAAUUACUUAUUUUGUGUUGCUCGAGGCAAAAGACAGAUGAGUUGGAUUGAUCCGAUUUUCAAGUAAUUUGUCUUUCUUGACAUACUAUUAUACGCAAGUCAUCUUAGCGCUCGUAAUAAAUAAAAUGAUUUUGUAAUUCCAGCUGCAAUUGACUCACAAGACAUAAAAUGUUUAAUGAUUCUUUUUGAACAAUACAUUUUUUAAAUUACACAAGGGUCUGUUCAAUUUCCUGCAUCUUUAAUUAGC
Molecule: long non-coding RNA, 4556 nt
Organism: Leucoraja erinaceus (little skate)
Lineage: Eukaryota; Metazoa; Chordata; Chondrichthyes; Rajiformes; Rajidae
Exons: 3
Source: RefSeq, a predicted model, not a curated record